CAGAGCUCAACACUUUAUUUGCUCCCUGUCAUUCAAUGCUAAUAAUACCAAUAUUCAGUGAAAAAUACUGGAGCUUAAAGGUCAGAUCACUUGUCCAGAGUCACAGAACAGAAGCCCAAGUAAUCUGGUAUAACAGCCAGGCUUUUUUUCUACUACAACAUUCUUCAUCCUGUAUGACAUUUUGAAAUCUGGAAUUAGAAGAGUGGAGUUCAUGUGUCGCCUGAAAUGAUCCUCAUGCUUUCCCAAGCAGAGUAUUUGUUGAAUUUACAUCUUAACUGGGUUAUGAAAUACUGACAAAUUUCAUGUUGAAUUUACAUUUCACAGUAGCUCUAACAUGAAACCUGUAACAUUUAUGUCAGAUUAUCUUUAUGGUCCCCCGUAAAGGCCUGGUUCCUUUUUAUUUUUAUGUUUGGAACUUCUUUCUUAUAAAACAUUUUAUAACAAAAUAAUAAAAAUGUUAUAAUGAAAUUCACAUUUUAGAAGGGUACCAUUGGAUGACUUUUUGACAAAUAUUCAUGUUAUUUCACUUGCUUUUGCCUCAUAAUCCUUAAACCUCUGUGUUAAACAACAUUUCUUUUGACCUGGCAUUCAAUCCACAAUUUUCUCACCAUACUCUGGUUUCAACUUUUUCUGUAAAGAAUCAAUUAGUAAAUAUUUUAGGUUUCCGGGACAUAUGGUGUCUGAUACAACUACUUAACUCUGCCAUUAUAGUGGGAAAAUAGCCAUAGAGAAAAUGAAAGUAAAUGAGCAUGACUGUUUUCCAAUAAAGUAUUAUUUAUGGACACUCAAAUUUUAACUUUAUAUUUCUAUGUCAUGAAAUAGUAUUCUUUGGAUUUUUCCAAUGUUUUAAAAAUGUAAAAUUCAUUUUUAGCUCCAAGGCUAUACAAAAACUGAUGGCAGCAUAGAUUUGAUCAGCAGGCCUUGGUUUGUUGAUCUCUGCUAUAAAAGAUAAUAAAAUCACAGAAUUUCAGAAAAAGGUCUGGAGAGUAUCUCAUCUAAUGUAUUUUUUUUUUUUUUUUUUUUUUAGCCAUAAAGGUGACUGAAGCUCAAAAAUAAAGGACCUAAGUGGUUUAAAAAAUGUCAUAUGGCAUGUCAGAGCAUCUGUCCUGGUCAGCUGGUAGUGGUUGCCUGGAGGAUUGUGUUGGGAUAGGACUAUGAAGUCCAAUCUGAGUCUCAUGGGAUGAAAGUCAUGUUGUGAUUGAUUGAAGAUGUCUGCUUAGUAUGCUACAAUGGAACCAUACCAAGGGAGUAUUUAAUGUUUGCAAAUUCACAUUUUUGUGCUCUGCUAAGGAACAGAUUGGUGGAUAGGAAGGAUCUGAGAAACAGAAAUCAAGAUUGUGUGAAUGGCAGCUUGGAAAUGAAAAAGAGAACAAAUGAAUGAGCAAUUAAAAUAUUGCAGACUCUUCCGAUUGCCAUUUCAUGCAAUGAAUACAUGCCUCUAAGUGAGUGUGAGAACCUUGAUAGAAUUUCCUGUUCUCUCAGUCAGGAGCAUAUCUCCAUACAGAGUAUGAUUCUAGGCUUUAAAGCUACUUUUCUUUUCUUUCUUUCUUUCUUUUUUUCCAAUGCAACAUGUCCCAGAAGCAAGCUACCUACAUUAGUUUGCAGUGUUCAAUUAGGGUGGGGGAAACACAGUAUGUUUCAAUAGGGGAGGCAAAUUUGGCAAUAUUGAAUGUUUUAAAACAUGUUUAUUAGGUUUUCAUAUGCAGUUUUCCUCAAGGCAAUUUUGACUUGAUGCACUUUCAUCUAUAUUAUGUACUUACAAACCACCCCCUUGAAAGGUGUAUCUCUACGGUACAUCAUAAAUGUGAUAUCCUCUAACAAGCCCAAGGUAACAUCAGGCAUUAAAUACUCAACGUUAACUUUAAUUAGUACCCUCACCUGCAAGAGUGCAAGUGAUUGAAGAUUGCAGCAAAUGCUUAUCCCAUUCCUUUAAGUCCCCAGAAUGACUGUCUAGACCAAUGUCCUUACUCAUUCCUUAUUCUUCUGAGGCUUUGCUAACUGGAGUACAGGAGCAGUCAGCAGGCCCAGAGGUAUGUUUUACCUUUCUGAUAACUUUAUUGGAUGAUCAAACCACUGGUUUACCUUGGCCAUUUGAAUGUCUGUACUAAGUGCUCACUCUGCUAGCCACCCUACAGAAAGAAAGGGAUCAGGCCAAUAGGAGUUCAAACAAUGACCCAUAACUCUAGCAUUAUAAGCUCAGGCCCUAAACUAGGGUCAUUCUCAGUCUAGGUCUAGUUGUCAGCUCAUAACUAUACUAGUCACAACUUAUGCGUUCAUGUGUUAUACCUGCCUGUUUUUGCUUCUAAGGGGAUUUUGUUAUCAAACAAAGAUGGAACAUGGACACAGGCAGAUAAGAAUUCUAAAUAUAAUCCCUUUCUUGCCUUCAGAAAUUUCUGUAAAGCCUUUGAAGAAUGCAAAAGUGGCUUAUUUUGAGUAAAAACUGGAAUAUUAAUCAGGAAUUAGAUACCUGGCUUGUAUUUCAGAUUCUGCCUUGGAUUGCUGGUCAUAUUCAACACCUUCUUUAUCUGCGGCAUAAAGAGACUACUGUGUCUGUCUUUUUUGGCACAAAAGUGAUGAAGAUAAAUGAUAUAUUGUGCUUCAGUAUAAUUCCUUUGUUAAUUAUAAUAUUAUAUAAACAUUGUGAUAAUAAACAUUUUGCUCUACCAUAAUUAUUAUCUGUGGGUUUAUGACAGAUAAGCUUAUUUUCCUCAAUUCGUUUUAAUUUAACAGCAGACACC
This 2738-nucleotide long non-coding RNA is filed under the name Homo sapiens (human). RNAcentral's name for it is "long non-coding RNA NONHSAT204833.1". The record is from RNAcentral. Lineage: Eukaryota; Metazoa; Chordata; Mammalia; Primates; Hominidae.